GUCCUCCUAGCUUUAUCCCGCAAGUCGCGAGUGCUGAACCAGCUCGACCACCGUCCCCGCUCCCGCCCCCGCCGGAGUCUUCGCUAAGGUUCUUCGAAGUUAUAUUAAUAUCGUCCCUAACUUAAUUGAGGAUUGCUUGCUCACCAAGAACAAUGGCAACUUCUUCCCCAAGGAUUCAACAUCCAUCCAACAGCAUGAACAGUUGCCAUGCAUGCAUUUAUAUGAGCAACGCCAACAUGCUUCGCCCUCGCCACCCGAACUUACCUCCACAAGCCUUCAAGGCAAGCCGAAGAGAUGCGUCGCGAGGGCCGCCAACACUGGCUGGUGAGGACUCACAUCCUCCUCCCACCUCCUCUCCAAUCAAGACAAAAACCCAGACCGUUGCACCAGCUCCACGCGCCGCCGACCGCCGGAGUUUUCUCCAAGGUGCCUUCGAAGCCCACCAACCACUCCAAGUUCACCGGCCGCUGCGGCGGCGGCAAGCCGAUGUGCGCGGCGCGCCAUGCGAAGCCUGCGUGGAAGUCGAAGGGCAAAGCCAAAGGGAGCUCCAAGCUCAGAGAUGGGCUGGCCAUCCGCCGAGGAGCGUCCGCGACCGAGGCUGUAGGCGUCUUGAUGGACGUGAUCGAUGAAGAUGACUGGUUCGGAGGAGAUGAUGGCAUGAAACAUGAGGCGUUGGCAGGCGAGGAGACUUCACUGAACCAGACAGACUAUGCAUUAGGAGAUGGAGAUUGGUUCUUGGUAGGGGAAGAAGAACAAUGAGUGUGUCUCAUUGUUGUGGUCUUUGAGUAGACCAUGAAGAUGGAAUCAGCUGCAUUCUAUUGUGAUCAAAAUAAAGUAAAAAACAGCAAAGAAAUUAUCAGCCUUGUAUCUGAAAUCUUAUAUGUACCCAUGUUCUUGGCAUUUGACCGAGGAACAUAUUUUUCAGUAAUAUUAGUUAUUAUUAUUACAAAUGUUCCUUAUGAGUAAACUAAGGGUGGAUUAUUGAUUGUUCACAAUUCUCUCGGAACAUUUGCAGAAUUAAUUUGAUAUUUUUUUCUGAAUUCCAGAAUAAGUUAAUCCCCACCAAAAAAAACAGUAAAAGUUUUCAUGUGUA
Musa acuminata AAA Group (dessert banana) is the source of this 1093-nucleotide long non-coding RNA. RefSeq lists it as uncharacterized. The transcript is spliced from 2 exons. The record is from RefSeq and is a predicted model, not a curated record. NCBI's taxonomy places the organism in Eukaryota, Viridiplantae, Streptophyta, Magnoliopsida, Zingiberales, Musaceae.